AUGAGGAAAGUCUCUGACCCACUAGAUGACAGUCACCAUGAGGCCUUCCUUAAACAGCACUUUGAAACACUGGCUGAGCCCCGCAAUAUGGCAGAGCGCAGCAGAGCUUUCAGUAGCAGUAUGUCAGCACCAUUCCUGGCCAGAAGCUCAAACAACAGGUCCAUGAGAGGGAGCAGAGGCCUUUGAUGUCCAAGGUGAGACCCCUGAUAGAGGGGGCACAGGGGAAGGGCCACGAAGACAGGGAGAGGACCAUGUCCCCAGGGAGAGGACCAUGUCCCCAGGGAGAGGACCAUGUCCCCAGGGAGAGGACCAUGUCCCCAGGGAGAGGACCAUGUCCCCAGGGAGAGGACCAUGUCCCCAGGGAGAGGACCAUGUCCCCAGGGAGAGGACCAUGUCCCCAGGGAGAAGGCAGAAGG
Molecule: long non-coding RNA, 416 nt
Organism: Coregonus clupeaformis (lake whitefish)
Lineage: Eukaryota; Metazoa; Chordata; Actinopteri; Salmoniformes; Salmonidae
Exons: 3
Source: RefSeq, a predicted model, not a curated record